This is a non-coding RNA of Potamilus streckersoni, 74 nucleotides long. Lineage: Eukaryota; Metazoa; Mollusca; Bivalvia; Unionida; Unionidae. The record is from the annotation of a GenBank genome assembly.
AAUCCGGUGACCUAAGUGGUUAGAGCAUCCGCCUCUGAUGCGGGAGGUGGCAAGUUCGAACCCUGUCCGAGUCA